UGGAUUCUGAUUUAGUUUUUAGAAUUUUGUGUUUUCUGUCUUUUAACAAUCCAUUGUGGAAAUGUCUUGGCAGAAGUGAAGGAUUGGAUUUGUGCUUCAGAAGGAGGCUGUGACUCUGUGGAGGUGGCUGGAGGAAGGUGAACCGAGGCCUAGUGAAAUCCGCCUUUUAGGGCAAAGAUGAAGAAAGAUCUGAAUUUCUGUGACUCCUGAUGAUUCUGGAGAUACAAAAGGUUUAGUGGGAGGUAGGAGCAAAAGCAACAUCGGAUACAGCAAAGAUUGUGGAGGAGAAGGACUGAUGAGCUGCCAUCUGAUUAAUCUACUGCUUUCAGUAAAUUUGGCUCAAGGGGACAGCAGGAAGAGAUGAGAGAAACAAGAAGGGCUCUGGUCACGAUGCUUUAUGGAUCUGAAAAAAAAAAAACAAAAA
Long non-coding RNA from Nannospalax galili (Upper Galilee mountains blind mole rat), 424 nucleotides. RefSeq lists it as uncharacterized. The record is from RefSeq and is a predicted model, not a curated record. NCBI's taxonomy places the organism in Eukaryota, Metazoa, Chordata, Mammalia, Rodentia, Spalacidae. The transcript is spliced from 2 exons.